This 229-nucleotide ribosomal RNA is filed under the name uncultured bacterium. RNAcentral's name for it is "partial 16S ribosomal RNA". It matches the Rfam family "Bacterial small subunit ribosomal RNA", at positions 118 to 346 of the family's 1533-position model. The record is from RNAcentral.
UGAGCAAUCUGCCUAGAUGUGGGGGGAUAGCCGGCCCAACGGCCGGGUAAUACCGCAUACGCUCUCCUGGUGGCAUCACCGGGUGAGGAAACUUUCGAGGCGUCUAGAGGAGCUCGCGGCCUAUCAGCUAGUUGGUGAGGUAAUGGCUCACCAAGGCUUUGACGGGUAGCUGGUCUGAGGGGAUGGCCAGCCACAUUGGGACUGAGAUACGGCCCAGACCUCUACGGGA